UUUCCGUAGGUGAACCUGCGGAAGGAUCAUUAUUGAAACUUGAAUCGUAGCAUGUAAGACUGUUGCUGACCUGUUAAAGGGUAUGUGCACGUUCGACGUGUUGCGUUCUAUUCAUCCACCUGUGCACCUUUGUAGACUUGAUUAACUUUCGCUCUCGAGCGGUUAGAAGGGUUGCGUUCGAGCUCCCUUUGUCUAUCAAGUCUAUGUCUAUAUAAUCUCUUGUAUGUCUAGAAUGUCCUGUUUAUGUGUCGCAAGCCCUUUAAAUCUUAUACAACUUUCAACAACGGAUCUCUUGGCUCUG
This 301-nucleotide unclassified non-coding RNA is filed under the name plant metagenome. RNAcentral's name for it is "partial contains small subunit ribosomal RNA, internal transcribed spacer 1, and 5.8S ribosomal RNA". The record is from RNAcentral.